AUGAUAAAUGAGAUGAAACAAUUAUUUUGAUGGAGUUUAUAAAAUAUUAGCAUCUAUUAUAUUCUUUUUUCUUUAACUGUCAAUUUUUUUGACGUAUCUCAUAUAUUAUAGUAUUACAAUGAAGUGCUCUAAUUUAUCUGUUAAAAAAGGUUUCAUCACUGUUUCCUGUAGUAAUUCUCAAUAAAGUUUUAAAUAGGAUAUAUUAAAUAGGAUAUAUUAUCUAAAGUAAUCAGGCUUUUAAGCCUUCAAUUUGCCCCAAUUGACAUGAAGUGCGCAUUUCGAAAAGCCAGUGAACGCAGCGUCAUACGGGCACCCCCACCCCACUCCCCCGAAAACCCCCGGAUGAACCCGCAGGAAGGCGCGCGGCUGAAGAACUUCUUGGACAGCUGGAAGGUGGGCGAUGCUUUGAACUUUUCUCUGUAGAAAUGUAAUGUUUAGAUUUGGGAAACCAGAGAUGGGUUUUUAGUAAAAACGUGUUGGCUGUUUAGGAUUAACGUUGAAUGACGAGGCGUUUUUCCAUCUUAAAUUUAAAAGGCCGCAGCAUCACGGUGAAGGCCUCUUCUGUAUAGAGGACGUGGGCGGAAACGUCACGUGGUCUCCGCAGAGACGGGUCAGUUAUUUGGAGACAACAUGCACAAAUAGUUCCUGGACUGAUUUUCUGCUAACUUUGAGAUGGAGAGGCUGUCAGGUUCAUCUGUUUCAGUGUCCUGCAUGCUCUCCCUCCAUGUUUGCCGUAGCAGUGGAUGGAACUUGCAAAAUGUACUGUUUUGAGAGCCAACUGGGGCUCAGUGGUUAUUUUGAAGAUGCGUUUCUGACCAAAAACACUGUGGAGACCUCCUUUGUGAACUGCAUUCAUGGGGCAAUAGAACAUAAUCCUGGAGAUGUGGAGCAGGAAAGUUUGUGGCAGCACCAGAGUCCUCCAAAAAGUCUUCUGGCAAAGUAAAUGAGGAAGGAUCGCAGUCUGCCAUCGUGGAGUUUUGCUGAAAGGACUGAACACGUUCCAUCCAUGCAUCCAUCUUCUUCCAUUCAUCCAGAACCAGGUUGUGAGGGCAGCAGUCUAAGCAAAGAUGCCCACACUUCCCUCUCCUCCAGCUCCUCUUGGGGGACCCCGGGGCCAGCUGAGAGACGUAGUCUCCCCAGCGUGUCCUGGGUCUUCCUUAGGGCCUCUGCCCAGUGAGACAUGCAUGGAACCCCCCCCCAGGGAGGCGUCCUCCUCUGGAUGUAGAGUGGAAGCGGCUCCACUCAGAGCUCUCUCCAGGUGAGCGAGCUUCCUGAACCUGUUCCGUUGAGAUAUUUUCAUGAACCCCUUCUAUUUGCAGAAACGGCUUUCUCCACAGACCUUGCAGUUCUUCUGCUCUGAUGUAGUCUACGAGUUCUGAUUGCAUUUGGAGAAGGUUGGUUUUCCGUGUCCUGAGAGGCAGGACCUGUUGAACAUGUGUCCUUUUCAAGUUCACUCUUGGAUGUGUGAGUUUGCAAACAUACAUUUUGGUUGAAAUGAUGAGGAUCCGAGGAUGAAAUCAAGAAGGGACAACUUCAGGGAAAGGGACUGAACCGACUGAACAGCUUCCUCUCUUCAGCAGACACAUCUUCCGAGUACAUAUGUGUCAAAAACUGACAUCCUCGCCGUUCAGGCCGGUGGCUGGAACAAGCGGAAGUCAGAAAAGCUGGAGCAGACGUUACCAGAAUGAUACCUCCAGGACCAAUCAAAAUGACCCAGAGAAAAAUACUGAAGGGCUUUGUCUGAGCAUCAGGAAAACAAGAAUCAGCAUAUGGUUAUGGUGCCAUGGUAAAGAACUAAAGGCUCUAGGAUGUCAUGCUGCUGACCAGACUGUGGUUGGUGAAGUCCAGCAGCAGUGCGGGUCCUUGAAGUGUGGUUGAAGAGCUCUCCUCCCAGCUUUUGGAAGGUUCUGCCCCGCAAAGCCAGGAGGUUUCUCUUUGUGAUCUGCAUGGAUGUCCAGGGCUUGUGGCAUUUAUGUGUUUUCCUCUUCAUUUCAUUCUCAGGCAGCACAGAGGCCUUGAUGGAGAGAGAACAUGAGGGACUAAUUGUCUGCUGAGGAGGAGACUUUCUGCAGUUCAAGCCCCAGCUCCACCCCUAAAAAAGGCUUAUAAGAAGGAAAACCUCAUUUCAACUUUGUACCAAUAAAUAAAUGACUUUUAAUUGAAA
This is a non-coding RNA of Oryzias latipes (Japanese medaka), 2164 nucleotides long. NCBI's taxonomy places the organism in Eukaryota, Metazoa, Chordata, Actinopteri, Beloniformes, Adrianichthyidae. The record is from RefSeq and is a predicted model, not a curated record.